CCUACGGGUGGCAGCAGUAGGGAAUCUUCCACAAUGGGCGAAAGCCUGAUGGAGCAACGCCGCGUGGGUGAAGAAGGUCUUCGGAUCGUAAAACCCUGUUGUUAGAGAAGAAGGUGCGUGAGAGUAACUGUUCACGUUUCGACGGUAUCUACCCAGAAAGCACCGGCUAACUACGUGCCAGCAGCCGCGGUAAUACGUAGGUGGCAAGCGUUAUCCGGAUUUAUUGGGCGUAAAGCGCACGCAGGCGGUCUUUUAAGUCUGAUGUGAAAGCCUUGGACUUAACCGGAGUAGUGCAUUGGAAACUGGGAGACUUGAGUGCAGAAGAGGAGAGUAGAACUCCAUGUGUAGCGGUGAAAUGCGUAGAUAUAUGGAAGAACACCAGUGGCGAAAGCGGCCCCCUGGUCUGUAACUGACGCUGAGGUGCGAAAGCGUGGGUAGCAAACAGGAUUAGAUACCCCGGUAGUC
Molecule: ribosomal RNA, 465 nt
Filed under: uncultured bacterium
Lineage: Bacteria
Description: partial 16S ribosomal RNA
Rfam family: Bacterial small subunit ribosomal RNA
Source: RNAcentral